RNAcentral lists this ribosomal RNA (1418 nucleotides) under Pectobacterium atrosepticum. Its description in RNAcentral is "bacterial SSU rRNA". It matches the Rfam family "Bacterial small subunit ribosomal RNA". Lineage: Bacteria; Pseudomonadati; Pseudomonadota; Gammaproteobacteria; Enterobacterales; Pectobacteriaceae. The record is from RNAcentral.
ACACAUGCAGUCGAGCGGUAGCACAGAGGAGCUUGCUCCUUGGGUGACGAGCGGCGGACGGGUGAGUAAUGUCUGGGAAACUGCCUGAUGGAGGGGGAUAACUACUGGAAACGGUAGCUAAUACCGCAUAACCUCGCAAGAGCAAAGAGGGGGACCUUCGGGCCUCUCGCCAUCAGAUGUGCCCAGAUGGGAUUAGCUAGUAGGUGAGGUAAUGGCUCACCUAGGCGACGAUCCCUAGCUGGUCUGAGAGGAUGACCAGGCACACUGGAACUGAGACACGGUCCAGACUCCUACGGGAGGCAGCAGUGGGGAAUAUUGCACAAUGGGCGCAAGCCUGAUGCAGCCAUGCCGCGUGGGUGAAGAAGGCCUUCGGGUUGUAAAGCACUUUCAGCGAGGAGGAAGGCGGUAAGGUUAAUAACCUUAUCGAUUGACGUUACUCGCAGAAGAAGCACCGGCUAACUCCGUGCCAGCAGCCGCGGUAAUACGGAGGGUGCAAGCGUUAAUCGGAAUGACUGGGCGUAAAGCGCACGCAGGCGGUCUGUUAAGUUGGAUGUGAAAUCCCCGGGCUUAACCUGGGAACUGCAUUCAAAACUGACAGGCUAGAGUCUUGUAGAGGGGGGUAGAAUUCCAGGUGUAGCGGUGAAAUGCGUAGAGAUCUGGAGGAAUACCGGUGGCGAAGGCGGCCCCCUGGACAAAGACUGACGCUCAGGUGCGAAAGCGUGGGGAGCAAACAGGAUUAGAUACCCUGGUAGUCCACGCUGUAAACGAUGUCGAUUUGGAGGUUGUGCCCUUGAGGCGUGGCUUCCGGAGCUAACGCGUUAAAUCGACCGCCUGGGGAGUACGGCCGCAAGGUUAAAACUCAAAUGAAUUGACGGGGGCCCGCACAAGCGGUGGAGCAUGUGGUUUAAUUCGAUGCAACGCGAAGAACCCUUACCUACUCUUGACAUCCACAGAAUUUGGUAGAGAUACCUUUAGUGCCUUCGGGACCUGUGAGACAGGUGCUGCAUGCCUGUCGUCAGUUCGUGUUGUGAAAUGUUGGGUUAAGUCCCGCAACGAGCGCAACCCUUAUCCUUUGUUGCCAGCGAUUCGGUCGGCAACUCAAAGGAGACUGCCGGUGAUAAUCCGGAGGAAGGUGGGGACGACGUCAAGUCAUCAUGGCCCUUACGAGUAGGGCUACACACGUGCUACAAUGGCGUAUACAAAGAGAAGCGACCUCGCGAGAGCAAGCGGACCUCAUAAAGUACGUCGUAGUCCGGAUUGGAGUUCCCAACUCGACUCCAUGAAGUCGGAAUCGGUAGUAAUCGUAGAUCACAAUGGUACGGUGAAUACGUUCCCGGGCCUUGUACACACCGCCCGUCACACCAUGGGAGUGGGUUCCAAAAGAAGUAGGUAGCUUAACCUUCGGGAGGGCGCUACCA